UUAACUGUACUGUUGCUGUGCAAAUCCAUGCAAAACUGACUAUAGCAGUGAAAAUGCACAACUAACCUUUCGUACCGAGGAACCCCUUUCUGUGCAGGUUGGGAUCGGUUGCAAUGCUGUUUGCUUGUGAGGUAUUGCACUUGUCCCGGCCUGUUGAGGACUGAGGGAAUUGAACCAUCACUGACUUUGGGAGCAUGUUACUUAUUUUAGUGACGCAAUGUGUGCACACCACACUGGCUGUGUAGUUGAACAAAGAUAAUUUUAGCUAGUAAAGAAUGCUGCUGUUUGGCUUGGUUUCAAAUGAGUAGUCAUUUCGUGCUUGUGGAGCAUUUAUUUAUGUAUUGCCAUGCCAGUAAACACAUUUUAAUGAGACAUAUUUAAAUACUGUUAACUUCUAGACCUGUGUAUUUUAACAGUAACUUUUUUUUAAUAAAAGGAAAUUAUAUAUAAUAUAAUUGUUUUCAUCAAAUUUAGCUGUAGUAUAAAACUGUUGUUCUUUAAUGCAUGGUCUGUUUGGUAUUAAUCUUUAAUUGGGUCCAGCACACUAUCUCAUUAGAUGCAUGUGAAUGGGGGGAGGUUUUACAGAGGUAGUUGGAUAGCCACUUUCCAGUGCUGGGGUGUAAACGUUAGCAAACAUUUUUGAACUUUUUAUCUGUUCGUGGCUAACAUAGGCAAACGAUCUUAAGAGGUUGCGUGCAGUGGAACAAAAAUGGCUACGAGGAGAUUAGUUUGACUCUGGGCGACGGGCGGAAGUUUUUCGAUUUUAUAUGGACCCAGAGGAAGCUCAAUGAGUUAUAUCAAAGAAUUGUGAGGGUCUGGAACCAACACCCCAAUAAUGUUGGUGAAGCUGACACCCUGGGAUCCUUCAAGAAGCUGCUUGAUGAGAUUCUGGGAUCAAUAAGCUACUAACAACCAAACGAGCAAGAUGGGCCAAAUGGCCUCUCGUUUGUGAACUUUCUUAUGUAUAUAAAUUGCCUAAUUGUGAAAAACCAUACAUUUAUUGUAUAUCUGGAAUGUAGUCUUUACCUGUUAGUAAAUGUGUUACUGCCUACAAUCCAUGCUUUAAAUUAAUCAAAGUUAAUGUCUUUCUACAAUAUAGUAAUUUAAGGGGAAUUCUCAGGUGUUUGCAAUGAUAGACUGUCCGUGAGAGAGAGUUUAAACUUGUGUAAGAACUGGCAAAAAAGGGGGUUGUAGAGAUUAAAAUAUAACUUGUACUGGGGCAUUACAGUAACUGCAAAAUCAGUAUUGCUUGUAAUGUUUUAUUGCUUAGUCAUUUUAGGAUUUAUUUUUUCUUGCAGAGGAAUAAAGAACCACAAAUGAUAUAUCGUAAAAAUAAUUGCCAGGUCAAAUACACUCAGCAGUCUGCUGGCAAAUAUUAUAAAUAAAUGCCAGAGGCGUUUAAAUGAAGUUUUAUGGUAAAUAAGUCUACCUUGUCAUACUUUCAGGAGGUUUGCUGUUGGGAAUGGCCUGUUUACCAUUUUACUGUAUAGAAGUAAGUGCAUUUUUACAAAAACCCUCGAAUCAAUUAGUGGAUAACAGGUUCUGAGUGUCUGGGAAUCUGGGCUUGUUUUAUAGAUGGAUAAUGUGCAUUUCAUGAACAGGGAUCCUUAAGGAGGAUGGGGGAUAACAUGGGGGGAUUUUUUUUAUUUUAAUGAAAGUAUUCCUAAUUACAUUAUUUGGAAGCUGUACCUCAACUGUAUUGUGCAUUUCCCAGUGAAAUCUGCAUCUACAUCCUGCCAUUUUUACAAUAAAGCAAUUUCCAAACAA
This is a long non-coding RNA of Acipenser ruthenus (sterlet), 1767 nucleotides long. RefSeq lists it as uncharacterized. Lineage: Eukaryota; Metazoa; Chordata; Actinopteri; Acipenseriformes; Acipenseridae. The record is from RefSeq and is a predicted model, not a curated record. The transcript has 2 exons.